AUCACAGAGCAUCCCCAAAUAUUCAGUUCAUAUCUGAUCACGAGGCUGGUCCUUCAGAGUCUGUGAGAAGGCAUGCUUCAGUUCCACAGUUAGAGAGCAGGGCACAUCCUUUAGAGUUCAGACUAGCAGAUGAUCAGAUUGAGAUGAUGUCCCAACAUGUUGCCUCCAUUCUAUUUCAGCAGUUUGCCACUUCAGUCUUUGCUCAGAGAUCGAUAUCCCAGGAUGACUCAGACCAGACUUUGAUCCCUCACAUUUCUUCUAUUUUUCAGAUGCUUACUGAUCAGUCGGUACGCAUUGAGCAGCUUGAGGGAUGUAUUUUGAGAUUGACAGGCAGAGUAUUAGACUUGCAGGGGCAAGUAUUAGCUUUAGCCCA
RNAcentral lists this long non-coding RNA (373 nucleotides) under Elaeis guineensis (African oil palm). Its description in RNAcentral is "long non-coding RNA (EGUI_LNC082588)". The record is from RNAcentral. Lineage: Eukaryota; Viridiplantae; Streptophyta; Magnoliopsida; Arecales; Arecaceae.